GACGAGCGCUGGCGGCGUGCCUAAUACAUGCAAGUCGAGCGAAGUUUUUCUGGUGCUUGCACUAGAAAAACUUAGCGGCGAACGGGUGAGUAACACGUAAAGAACCUGCCUCAUAGACUGGGACAACUAUUGGAAACGAUAGCUAAUACCGGAUAACAGUAUUUCUCGCAUGAGAGAUAUUUAAAAGUUGGUUAUGCUAACACUAUGAGAUGGCUUUGCGGUGCAUUAGCUAGUUGGUGGGGUAAAGGCCCACCAAGGCGACGAUGCAUAGCCGACCUGAGAGGGUGAUCGGCCACACUGGGACUGAGACACGGCCCAGACUCCUACGGGAGGCAGCAGUAGGGAAUCUUCCGCAAUGGGCGAAAGCCUGACGGAGCAACGCCGCGUGAGUGAAGAAGGAUUUCGGUUCGUAAAGCUCUGUUGUUAGGGAAGAAUGGAUAUGUAGUAACUAUACAUGUAAGAGACGGUACCUAACCAGAAAGCCACGGCUAACUACGUG
This 499-nucleotide ribosomal RNA is filed under the name uncultured bacterium. RNAcentral describes it as "partial 16S ribosomal RNA". It matches the Rfam family "Bacterial small subunit ribosomal RNA", at positions 28 to 507 of the family's 1533-position model. The record is from RNAcentral.